This 301-nucleotide ribosomal RNA is filed under the name uncultured bacterium. Its description in RNAcentral is "partial 16S ribosomal RNA". It matches the Rfam family "Bacterial small subunit ribosomal RNA", at positions 509 to 809 of the family's 1533-position model. The record is from RNAcentral.
CAGUAGCCGCGGGAAUACGGAGGGUGCAAGCGUUAAUCGGAAUUACUGGGCGUAAAGCGCACGCAGGCGGUCUGACAAGUCAGAUGUGAAAUCCCCGGGCUUAACCUGGGAACUGCAUUUGAAACUGUCAGGCUGGAGUCUUGUAGAGGGGGGUAGAAUUCCAGGUGUAGCGGUGAAAUGCGUAGAGAUCUGGAGGAAUACCGGUGGCGAAGGCGGCCCCCUGGACAAAGACUGACGCUCAGGUGCGAAAGCGUGGGGAGCAAACAGGAUUAGAUACCCCAGUAGUCCCUGUCUCUUAUAU